GACCGGGAUGGACGAACCUCUGGUGUACCGGUUGUCAUGCCAGUGGCACAGCCGGGUGGCUAUGUUCGGAACGGAUAACCGCUGAAAGCAUCUAAGCGGGAAGCCGACUCCAAGAUUAGAUUUCCCUGGGGCUUUAUGCCCCCUGAAGACUCCUGGAAGACUACCAGGUCGAUAGGAUGGAGGUGUAAACGCAGCAAUGCGCUCAGCCCACCAUUACUAAUCAGUCGUGAGGCUUGACCAU
Molecule: ribosomal RNA, 241 nt
Filed under: Spirochaetota bacterium
Lineage: Bacteria; Pseudomonadati; Spirochaetota
Description: Spirochaetes bacterium (wastewater metagenome) partial 23S ribosomal RNA
Rfam family: Bacterial large subunit ribosomal RNA
Source: RNAcentral